CAAAGUCCACAUGACUGGACCUUUAUUUACUUCACCUUUAGUAUUGAACUACUUAAAUACAAUAGAACUUUGUCCUUGUGAUUUUAAUUGUAGCCCCUAACAAACACUUUUUGAAUAAAGCUUAACAGUUACUAUGCACUCCACAUGCAAUUGAAAUCGACUUUCACUGAAUAUUAACAUUGAAUAGAAUUGACUCUUAACCCCUUUUUGGUUUCCGAAUGAAUGAAUUGGGAAAAUCAACUCUAUGAGCAAAGCAUUUAAUGCAUCUAUUGAAUAUGUAGUGCCUCUUAAUUCUUAUAAGUAGCUAAUAAAUUUGGUGUUGCUACUGUUUUUGAUUCAAUAUAAAUACACAGGAUAAGAAACGAUCUGAUACUAUUCUGUACUCAUAUUUACAUAGAGGCACCAAAUUUUCUAGCAACUCAUAUCCUCCUAAGGCCCAAGGUCCUUCCUAUAGUAAUAAUUAAGUUGGUCAUUCAGACCCAGCUUCUUUAACGACUGUAUAGUCAUAGCGUACCACGGUCCUACCAGUAGGACUUAUUAUAAAAGCCAUAAUUUUGAUUUAAAAUUUCGUGCCAAUCUAAACUGACGUAUACGAUUUUCUAGAGGGGUAUUUUGAGUUUGAAUGUGAACACACUCAUAAGCUUGAAAAAUAAAAACAAAGUGUCAAACUGACAAGUUACAGACGGCGACAUGGGUAUUCCGUGAAGGAGAGGAUUAAAUGACAGAGAAACAUAAUUCGCUCUUAGGGAAUCAGAAAUAGAAACUGAAGAUGAAGAAACAGACUUUUGCGACAUAAAACUCAUAGAAACAAAUUUUGUACAAACAAGAUCCCGGUAUGAUUCCUCUAGUUCCUAUGUCGAUAUUUCUCUGUCAGAACUUAUUUCAAAGCCUAACCACGGCAGAACCCGAUAUUUUGCCGUGCAGCUUCUGGACGUCGUCGAGGAGCGCCUACAAGAGGACGAUCUCAGGCUCGCAGUGGAGUAACGUUCGUCCAAGAAGAGCGUAAAAUCUUAAUUUUUGGGUCUAGUAAACCACUAAAGACUGAUUAAAAGUGAUUAGUGCAUUAUAUUAUUUAAAUAAGACUAUUAUUUUAUUGUAUUCAUUCAAUAAAACUAAAAAAGAAACAAAUC
This is a long non-coding RNA of Leguminivora glycinivorella, 1130 nucleotides long. RefSeq lists it as uncharacterized. NCBI's taxonomy places the organism in Eukaryota, Metazoa, Arthropoda, Insecta, Lepidoptera, Tortricidae. The transcript has 2 exons. The record is from RefSeq and is a predicted model, not a curated record.